UAGCUACUCCCUCCGUCCGGAAAUACUUGUCAUCAAAAUAAAUAAGACGGAAUGUAUCUAGAUGUAUUUUAGUUCUACAUACAUCUAUUUUUGUCCAUUUUGAUGACAAGUUUUUUCGGACGGAGGGAGUACAUC
This is a non-coding RNA of Triticum urartu, 135 nucleotides long. NCBI's taxonomy places the organism in Eukaryota, Viridiplantae, Streptophyta, Magnoliopsida, Poales, Poaceae. The record is from Rfam.